This 468-nucleotide ribosomal RNA is filed under the name uncultured bacterium. RNAcentral's name for it is "partial 16S ribosomal RNA". It matches the Rfam family "Bacterial small subunit ribosomal RNA", at positions 28 to 507 of the family's 1533-position model. The record is from RNAcentral.
GACGAACGCUGGCGGCGUGCUUAACACAUGCAAGUCGAACGGAAAGGCCCUGCUUUUGUGGGGUGCUCGAGUGGCGAACGGGUGAGUAACACGUGAGUAACCUGCCCUUGACUUUGGGAUAACUUCAGGAAACUGGGGCUAAUACCGGAUAGGAGCUCCUGCUGCAUGGUGGGGGUUGGAAAGUUUCGGCGGUUGGGGAUGGACUCGCGGCUUAUCAGCUUGUUGGUGGGGUAGUGGCUUACCAAGGCUUUGACGGGUAGCCGGCCUGAGAGGGUGACCGGCCACAUUGGGACUGAGAUACGGCCCAGACUCCUACGGGAGGCAGAAGUGGGGAAUAUUGCACAAUGGGCGGAAGGCUGAUGCAGCAACGCCGCGUGCGGGAUGACGGCCUUCGGGUUGUAAACCGCUUUCGCCUGUGACGAAGCGUGAGUGACGGUAAUGGGUAAAGAAGCACCGGCUAACUACGUG